GCCCUAAUGGACAAGACACUGGCCUCUGAAGCCAGGGAUUGUGGGUUCAAGUCCCAUUUGGGGUG
RNAcentral lists this transfer RNA (65 nucleotides) under Alligator mississippiensis (American alligator). It matches the Rfam family "tRNA". From Rfam's summary of the family: Transfer RNA (tRNA) molecules are approximately 80 nucleotides in length. Their secondary structure includes four short double-helical elements and three loops (D, anti-codon, and T loops). The record is from Rfam by way of RNAcentral. Lineage: Eukaryota; Metazoa; Chordata; Crocodylia; Alligatoridae.